This 206-nucleotide ribosomal RNA is filed under the name Malassezia pachydermatis. Its description in RNAcentral is "partial large subunit ribosomal RNA". Lineage: Eukaryota; Fungi; Basidiomycota; Malasseziomycetes; Malasseziales; Malasseziaceae. The record is from RNAcentral.
ACGUGAAAUUGUCGAAAGGGAAGCGCUUGAAGUCAGCCAUGCUGCUUGAGACUCAGCCUUGCUUUUGCUUGGUGUAUUUCUCGGUAGCAAGCCAGCAUUGGUUCGAGUCGUCGGAGAAGGGUAUGAGAAAUGUGGCAUCCUCGGAUGUGUUAUAGACUUGUACUGGAUACGACGAUUUGGAUCAAGGAACGCAGUGUGCCUCUGGC